CUCAGUGAAUAUACUGGAGGGGCCACACCCGUUCCCAUUCCGAACACGGUCGUUAAGUCCUCCGAGGCCGAUGGUACUUGCUCCACGCGGAGCCGGGAGAGUAGGAAAUCACUGGGA
RNAcentral lists this ribosomal RNA (117 nucleotides) under Candidatus Abzuiibacterium crystallinum. RNAcentral also lists the same sequence under 1 other name. The record is from RNAcentral. Lineage: Bacteria; Pseudomonadati; Candidatus Omnitrophota.